RNAcentral lists this ribosomal RNA (253 nucleotides) under uncultured bacterium. Its description in RNAcentral is "partial 16S ribosomal RNA". It matches the Rfam family "Bacterial small subunit ribosomal RNA", at positions 524 to 776 of the family's 1533-position model. The record is from RNAcentral.
UACGGAGGGUGCAAGCGUUAAUCGGAAUUACUGGGCGUAAAGCGCGCGUAGGCGGAAUUUUAAGUCAGAAGUGAAAUCCCCCGGCUUAACCGGGGAAUAGCUUUUGAUACUGAGAUUCUUGAGUUCAGGAGAGGGUGGCGGAAUUCCAGGUGUAGGAGUGAAAUCCGUAGAGAUCUGGAGGAACAUCAGUGGCGAAGGCGGCCACCUGGACUGAUACUGACGCUGAGGUGCGAAAGCGUGGGGAGCAAACAGG